UACGGGGGGGGCAAGCGUUGUUCGGAAUUACUGGGCGUAAAGGGCUCGUAGGUGGCCAACUAAGUCAGACGUGAAAUCCCUCAGCUUAACUGGGGAACUGCGUCUGAUACUGGAUGGCUUGAGAUUGGGAGAGGGAUGCGGAAUUCCAGGUGUAGCGGUGAAAUGCGUAGAUAUCUGGAGGAACACCGGUGGCGAAGGCGGCAUCCUGGCCUGUUCUUGACGCUGAGGCGCGAAAGCUAGGGGAGCAAACGGG
This 253-nucleotide ribosomal RNA is filed under the name uncultured bacterium. Its description in RNAcentral is "partial 16S ribosomal RNA". It matches the Rfam family "Bacterial small subunit ribosomal RNA", at positions 524 to 776 of the family's 1533-position model. The record is from RNAcentral.